UGGGGAAUUUUGCACAAUGGGGGAAACCCUGAUGCAGCGACGCCGCGUGAUUUAGAAGGCCUUCGGGUUGUAAAAAUCUUUUUUACGGGAUGAAAAUGACAGUACCGUAAGAAUAAGGUCCGGCUAAAUACGUGCCAGCAGCCGCGGUAAUACGUAUGGACCGAGCGUUGUCCGGAAUCAUUGGGCGUAAAGGGUACGUAGGCGGCCUAGUAAGUUAGAAGUUAAAGAAUAUAGCUCAACUAUAUAAAGCUUUUAAAACUGCUAGGCUUGAGAGAUGGAAGGGAAAGUGGAAUUCCUAGUGUAGCGGUGAAAUGCGCAGAUAUUAGGAAGAAUACCGGUGGCGAAGGCGACUUUCUGGUCAUCAUCUGACGCUGAGGUACGAAAGCGUGGGUAGCAAACAGG
Molecule: ribosomal RNA, 402 nt
Filed under: Bacteroidota bacterium
Lineage: Bacteria; Pseudomonadati; Bacteroidota
Also listed under: 1 other name
Description: Bacteroidetes bacterium partial 16S ribosomal RNA
Rfam family: Bacterial small subunit ribosomal RNA
Source: RNAcentral